CUCUCAAAAGUAUUAUACGUUUUCAAGUAUUAUAACGUUUUCUAUGCUACUUCACCGUCUCUCCACUGUAAUCCGCGGUACACACCGUCAACCUCCAUCUUCGUUUCAUCACAACAACCCUCGAAACUUCUAGAUCUGAUGAAUACUGCAAGCAAGGUGCUCGGUUUGCUAAGUGGAAAACAGUUGUUAGCAUCCCAUCUGGUCCUUCGGCUUUGGCUAUUAAGGAAGCAGCAUGGGGACUUGCACGGUACGCUGCUAUCUCUCAGGACAAUGGUCUUGUUCCAAUAG
Molecule: non-coding RNA, 288 nt
Organism: Vicia faba (fava bean)
Lineage: Eukaryota; Viridiplantae; Streptophyta; Magnoliopsida; Fabales; Fabaceae
Source: the annotation of a GenBank genome assembly